CUAAACACCAAAAUCCUAACCUCCCAAACUGAUUUUUGGAGCUAUUUAGAGUAAGCUGGAGUUUGGGAAACUCCUCUAAAGGUAAGAUUAUGCCUUUUUACCAAUUGAUUUUCAAUUUAAUCAGGUUAGCAUCGAUUUGGUCUAGCUUUAGUAAAAUUUUCCUCCCUUGAGUUUGCUGGGGAUUUGGAGCUAAGAUUUGGGCAACCCAGUAUCUAAGGAGAAGUUGGAGAUGAUCAACUCAUUUGUGAGCUGAAGGAUGAUUGGAAGCUGAGAAUUUAAGCAUGGUUGUAGGCACGCCACCGAUUGUCAUUUGAUGCCAUCCACUAGGAGGUUACUCUAGAUGAUGACCUUGAUUCUCGGCCUAUUGCCUCAGCAAGCGAGUGAUUUGAUUUUUUACUAACGGCUUAGCCUUGAGCGUGAUUUGACUCCAUCAGUUGGCCACCAUAUGUGAUUUGAUGAUGUCCAAGGGAAGACCACUUCACAAUUGUGAUUUCACUUAUAAAUAGGCCACAAGACUACGUAGCAAGGGUCAUCUGUUGACAGACCAAUUUUGGCAUCUAGUAAGUCCCCAUCUUGGCAUGUCUACUCCACUGAGUUUGUCAUGAGCUUUCACCUUUGGAGAUCAAUUUAGUUAUUU
Molecule: long non-coding RNA, 637 nt
Organism: Theobroma umbraticum
Lineage: Eukaryota; Viridiplantae; Streptophyta; Magnoliopsida; Malvales; Malvaceae
Source: RefSeq, a predicted model, not a curated record